This 787-nucleotide long non-coding RNA is filed under the name Dromaius novaehollandiae (emu). RNAcentral's name for it is "lncRNA (ENSDNVG00000009166.1)". Lineage: Eukaryota; Metazoa; Chordata; Aves; Casuariiformes; Dromaiidae. The record is from RNAcentral.
GCUUUAGUGAUACGGUGUCAAAUUCAAUUUAGUAUAAAAUUCCACAUCCUUUCAAAUGGRGGAAACCAUUUUAAUUUGUAUGAUCAGCAGCUGAACUUUCCCUUUCAUCUUUUCAGUGACAGUACAACUAAACAGGGCUGGGAACUUCCUACACAAAGUCCAGCCUGAAAGCCAAAGUCAUCCUGAAAGCCUGGUGUUUUAUGGGAGUYGCUUCCAUAAACAUUUGUAAUCUGGUGCAACUUUAACAUUGUUUUUGGUAUCAGAAACAAAAAUGGAGAGAAAAGACAAUGUGCUUAAUUGCAGAUAAAAUCAAGAGAAGUUGUUGCUCAGAGCCGCACUAAGCACUCAAGGAACUUCAGUGGCACCAGAUGCUCUCCGUGCACUGUUGGUAGCAUUAGUGCCACUUGCGAAGGCUUCCCCUGCUCUGGCAAAGGCAACAGCUGUGCCAACACCUUUCUGCUGUGAGUGUCCCUCACGCUGGGAAGCUGCCUCUCCUCUUGCCGUUGUGCUGGGAAGGGCGGGUGACCGGCUCGCUGACGUGUACAUGCGGGUGCCAAGGACAAGGCUAAGAGUGUUUCAGCUCGGGCGAUGAAUGAAACUGGCCCAGUUAGAUCCACGUGGGGAUGGAUUUUGCCCGUAUCAUGCAGGUCUUAAACCGCUCCGCUAAGGCUUAGCUGCUACCACAGCAUGGACCCUGGCCCAGGAGGAGAAGUGUGACGUGAAGGUGACGGCCACAGAGCACGAGGUAUGGAGGUCCACCUCUGCAUGUCUAAGUAUCUGUGCAACC